CCCUUAGAUGUUCUGGGCCGCACGCGCGCUACACUGAUGCAUUCAACGAGCCUAUCCUUGACCGACAGGUCCGGGUAAUCUUUGAAUCUGCAUCGUGACGGGGAUAGAUUAUUGCAAUUAUUAAUCUUCAACGAGGAAUGCCUAGUAGGCGCAAGUCAUCAGCUUGCGUCGAUUACGUCCCUGCCCUUUGUACACACCGCCCGUCGCUCCUACCGAUUGGGUGUGCUGGUGAAAUGUUCGGCUCGGCCGUUUGUCGCGGUUUCCGCGUCAUGUGGCUGAGAAGUUCAUUAAACCCUCCCACCUAGAGGAAGGAGAAGUCGUAACA
This 325-nucleotide ribosomal RNA is filed under the name uncultured eukaryote. RNAcentral describes it as "partial 18S ribosomal RNA". It matches the Rfam family "Eukaryotic small subunit ribosomal RNA", at positions 1470 to 1796 of the family's 1831-position model. The record is from RNAcentral.